RNAcentral lists this non-coding RNA (733 nucleotides) under Pongo abelii (Sumatran orangutan). The record is from RNAcentral. Lineage: Eukaryota; Metazoa; Chordata; Mammalia; Primates; Hominidae.
CUCCACAUCACUCCUCAGGGAGGAAAUGAACGCCCAGGCAGGCAGAGCUGUGGGCAUCUACAGCAGGCCCUGUGCUGCUGUCGCAACCUCACCUUGGUCCCCUGAGGCGGUUAUCACCAUCCCAUUCCAGAGACAAGGCAAAUGAGGCCCAGGUGGGUGAAGAAACUGACCUAUCAAGGCAGAGCUAGUGGGUAGCAUGCUGGACUUCCAAGCCUUCCUGAGAAAGUGAACUGUUUCCUCUGUAGAUGGGCAUAGGCAUGGCUGUGUGUGCAUCUUGUCCUGACCAUUCCACAGUGGCUGUUAUCACACUCCAUUUACAAUUUGGCUCAGAAAACCAGAGGUGAACCUGAAGCAGCCCAGCUGGCCCUAAGAAGCCCUGGACGCUCCCUCCCAUCCUCACAUUGUUGAGUCAAUGCUAUAAUUUGAAUGUCUGUGUCCCCUCCAAAAUUCAUGCUGAAACUUAAUCCUUAAGGAGCAGUUUUAAGAGGUGGGGCCUUUAAGAAGUGAUGAGGUCAUGAGGGCUCUCUAUGAAUGGAUUAGUGUCUUAUAAAGGGCUUGAGGGGGCCAGUUCCCCCCUCUUCAGUCCCAUAGGCCAUGUGAAGACACAGUUCAUGGUGCCAUCUUGGAAGCAGAGAGCAACCCUUAACAGAGACACUGAACAAGCCUGUGCCUUGAUCUUGGACUUCACAGCGUCCAGAACAGUAAGAAAUAAAUUUCUGUUGUUUACAAAUUA